GGGAGGUGGAGUCUGGCUGGAGAAAUUGGGUCACAGAAUACCAAGAGUUGUUUUCUGUCCUAUCUCUGCUUCCUGAUCUUUAGAAAUGAGAGCAAGCAGACUUACCAUUAUUUUUCCUCUGAAAGCUGUGCCAGCUGCCAUGCCUCCUCCUAUAUAAUGAGCUGUAUCCUUCACUCAUGAGCCAGAAGAGACACGUCCUCCCGUAAAUUGCUGCCUAACAGGUGUUUGUCACAACAAAACCAGGAUGCUGUUGCUGCUGCUGCUGCUGCUGCUACUGAUGAUGAUGAUGAUGAUGAUGAUGAUGAUGAUGAUGAUGACGAUGAUGAUCACAAGCUAGAUGUCAGCUUGGUUACUGUCACAUCUCCCCGCAGAGUUCCAAAUGCCUGUUAUUCAAGAUGAUGAAGAGUGUGACGUCACGGAAUUUCAACCUUGGGUUUCCUCAUUUUGCAUUCUGUCAUGAGCAAGCGUAUCGUCCCGGAAAAGUGCAUAAGCGCCCUCAUAAUUGCUUCGUAGUUUCCUAUGAACUGCAAAUGUAUGUGAGUGUUUGACUAGUACUAGACUCUUCAUUCUGUAACUAAUGUUGAUUAUUAAUUUCAAAAAGCAGACAAGAAGUCGGUUGGCCAAAUCAUACUGUACUUCAAGAACAGGACAGUGUCCCAUGGUUGGGUGUCUUUCUCAUGAUGGACUCUCUGUAAAUUAAACAGCAGCCAAUUAGUCACUUUCCUGUUGUUUCAGCUUUCAGUUUGCUCCGAUUAAACAUUCAUAUGGUAAAUCUUAUAUUUCCAGUAAUUUCAGUGCUGAGGUCAGUAGCGUUAAGGCAUCCAGAGGUGUGUGAUUAUAAAACUAGACAACGAAUAGGAACCAGCACACGGGUGAGUGGAAUCCAUGGUUCUGGUUUGCAUCUCCUGACUGUUAUGAUGCUGAACACCUACCUGUGUGCCCAUUGGCUCUGUAUGUCUUAGGAGAAGGGAUGAUUCAAAUCCCUUUUCCAUUUGUAAAUUAAGGUAUUUUUGUUAUUAAAUAGGAUGGGCUUCUAUAUCUAGAUAUCAAAACCCUUCUCAGACAUUUAAUUUCCAAAUAUUUACUCUUAUUAACUCUUAGUCUUUAUUGCUUUGCAAUGCUCUUAGGUAUAGGAACACUUUUAGGUUGAUAAUAUAUUAGUUAUUUUUGUUAUCUCUGUGGCCUGGCAACAAACCUUUUAAGGGAAGCAGGGCUUAUUUUGGCUCGUGGUUUAGGGCCGUGUGGGGAGUGGAGGAAGUCCUGGGUGAGUGCACGGAGAGCAGAUGGUGUGCUGGGUGAAUGUGUGUUAUUGAAUGAGCAGAGUCAUGCCGUGGACCUGACCGCCUCUGACCUGCGAGAAUGGUAGAGCCUUCCCCGGUCUGCCCAUGCUUGUUGAUGGUAUGUGUCAAAUGUCAACUGAGCUUCCUCCUCCUCCCAGUGUGAGCAGCUUGAGACUACUUCCCUUCAGAAACCAUACAGGGGUUAGCUAAACCUGCCUCCUCAAUCAGCUGCAUUCAAUAAAACUGCCUCCUCAAUUCGGAUAUAUAAGAUAAAAACAUUGUGUUUCCAGGCUGCAUCUCCGUCAGAGCACGUGGCCCACUCAAUCACAGCCUUUCCGUACACGUGUCUGUGUGUCCAUCCUUAAUUCCGUCAUUGCCCCAGUCAGGUCAACUUCAAGCCAGGUCAAGUAGUUUCAGUAGUACAUCAUGGGGUUUGGUAUAUGACCUUUGUUCAUGAAGAAGUUUCCUUUUAUUCCUCGUUUGUUGCAGUUUCUGUCAUGAAAAGGUGGUAAAUUUUAUCAAAUAGUUUUUCCUCUAUCAACUGAAAUGAUCACACGGAUACUUCUCCCCUUUUGUUCCUGCAGCACAUCAGUGGAAUAGAUUCUCCACUAGUCCUUGCGUCCCUGGUUUCCUCAGUGAUGCUAUAUAAUCCCUUUAUUAUAAUGUGGAGUUUGCUCUGCUAGUAUAUCUUGAAGCAGUUUUACAUAGAUGCUUAUAUGGGAUAUUUGUAAGUUUCUUUCUUGCACCGUCAUCGUGUGGCUCCAAUUUUGGAGUGAGCUGGGAUGCUCCCUGCUUGGUCUUCCGCAGAAGUCUCAAGAGAAUACAGCAGAUUCUCUUCUAGCGUUGCAUAGAAGUCAGAAGUGGCUCUGUGAUGCACAGCCUGUCCUUGUUGGCCUUGGGUUAUUCAAAUGCUAGCAUACACUUGCUUACACUGCGCUUCCGUGUCCUUUCUACCUUUGGAAUCCCCCAAAUAAUAGUGAGUGAUGUUAAAAGAAUUAAUCUGUUUGGUAGUUUGAUUUUUAAUCUCUUAGCCGCCAAGUACGCUGCCAGUGCUCCUUCUCGGGGUGACUUUGUUUUCAUGCCCUCAGAACCUCUUAUUCACUCAUUACACAGUGCUUGUGGGAUUCUUCCGUGUGGACUCAGGCUCAAGUGGACGGCAAAUAUCAGUGUUUCACGGUCUCAUAGUUAUGAUAUAAUGGCUGGGCUGUGGAGAAGGACUGGGUUUAGAAUGGGGCUACUGCAGAUCGCAGAAGUGCACACAGGUAAAUAAAUGCAUCGCUGUGUCACGGUCUCCCUACAGGUGUUACCGUGGGCUUAGACUGCUGUCUGCAUUAGUUGUCUGCCUUCUGGUCCUCCCAUGGGUGGAACACGCCUUUUGUUUUCCACCCCUGCCACUAGAGGGCACAACCACUGAUUGGUAAAACAAGCUUCAAGGCAACCUUGAGAGCCAGUGACUCAGCCUUUUUAGCUACGUCGUAGGUUUACAUGGUCCCUUUAGAUACUGGCAAUCAAAACAAAUUCUUUUUAACACUCAGUAUGAACUACUCAGGCAAAUCCAUUGCAAUUCGUGGGCUCGGGAGCCCAAAGAAAUUAGACCAUACAUAAAAAUGUAUCCUCUGGGAAAGAAGAUUUUUUAUUAGAAAUUGAAACAAUGUUUCUGAAGCUUGACUGCUUCUGUCUGCCUGGCUCUUUUGGCUGCUGAUGAGUCUCCUCCAGGGAGGGAAGAGAUGAUCUCAGCGCCUGUCCUCACUUCUGUAAGUACUUCUUUUGUCCUUUGCUGGCACAUCACCACUGAAGUUGCAGCAGAGGCACAGGUUGAUAUGACAGGCAGGAAUGAGACCAGAGGGGACCACAGAACGUCCCCUUCACAUGGAGUCUUCUGUGCUGUAGACCCCAUGAUGUUCCUCCACCUCUUACCACACAGCUGGGUAGGGUACAUGGAGCCUGGUGACUGGGCUUAAGUGCUUCCACUCAUGAAAAAAAAAAAAACCCUGUGAUGUCGAUCUACUGAAUGGGCCCAGAUGUACCGGGAGCCCUGCUGCUGCCGCAGCCCAUCCUGCAGCUCUGCAGAUGAGUCUCUGAGCACAGGCCCUAGACUUCUGUUCCUGCUGCCCAGCAGGGAGUGUUAGUUGCUCACCAUGAAUGCUCUUGGCUUAAAACCAGCAGUUCCCUACACUGUUGAAAGAAAGAAAGAAAGAGAGAGAGAGAGAGAGAGAGAGAGAGAGAGAGAGAGAAAGAAAGAAAGAAAGAAAGAAAGAAAGAAAGAAAGAAAGAAAGAAAGAAAGUUGAUAACAGUUCUCUUUGCUGCACUCAGGAAGAAGAGACCUUCUGGAGACACACAGGCACUGAAGGCUCAGAGGCUCACAUGGGGGCUGGGUUGGUGUCCUGCAGCUGGUACCUCAUUCAGGGAUCACUUUUGUUGAGAUUUGUCUGAUUCUAUCUGGCAUCAGACUUGUAACUCUUUAGAAACACAAAAAGGGCUACCUUUUGUUUCCAGAAGCUAUACCCAAUUACUGGACAUUUUCAGAAUGCUGCCCAAGAGUCUCUUAACCUCUUGCCUGAAAAGACUCCAUAUCUGGGUACAUGCUGAGCCACCAAGGCUCAGCUGAUAGGGUGUGGGAUGCAUGUGGAGGCUGGGCACUGUCCCCAGGCCUUCAGUGCUGGUACCACACUGCAAUCAGCAGCUGUAACCCUCCCUGCCUUUCUUUCCUGACUUCUAUCUUACCACUUAAAGGUAAAAUGAUGAGGAGUAAUUAGAAGACAGACUCUGUCCCAGGAUAGUUUCUCCUGGCUUCCAGUGGCAGCAGUCUGUCGCUGAUCACCUCAGGACAGACCUGUCCUAAAGAGCUGUACAACCCAAGCUGCUCUCUUAGGUGAGAUGGUCGAGCAGUUUCCUGAAGGGCUUCCCUGUCUGCUGAUGGGUCGGGUAAGAACCUGACCAAGGAGGUAGAACUCAAUGUCCUUGCCAGAAAUUGAGUGCCACUGAUAGGACUGUCUUUACCUGUGGUACUUGGAGUUGAGUUUCUUUACCUAGUUCCUCGUUGUCUAGUUAGUUACCUGGUUCACACACAGAUUUAGAAUGCUAUGGCAGAGACGCUGCUGAAUGGAUCAAGAAGAGGAAGCACAGGACUCCGUUCCUGAGUCACAGCAGUAAUUCCUGUGCUGCCAAGUUCUGCACUGCUCUGUAUAUACAAAGGGUUGCUGCAGUUUUUCUCUUAGAGCAAGGAGGUUCCUCUCAUACAGUCCGUGCCAGCCAUCCAGCCCACUCCGAGGCACACGACAAAGACUUGCAAAAUAGGAGGUAGAGACGGUGCAAGAAAUUCUAAAACUUUGACCUGUGAAAUCCAUUAUUUGGACUUAUUUUAAGUUUCAUUUAAAUGCAUGCAAUAGCACACACAACCGCUAUGCUGUUUAACAGAAAUAAAGAGAAACCAUGGCUGAAAACUUAGAGACUAUUUAGACAUAUUACCCCGACUUGUUCUAAAUCUGUCAUAAAGCUUUUCCCUGCAGGGAAGACUGCAAGCCAAUAAUGGCCUCGUUCCAAGCAGGCAGGCCCGUGGGAGGCUAAGGCAGGCCCGAGUAACUUCAUAUAGCUGCCUGAUCCUGAGAUCCAGCCUUCCCAUGCAUAGAUACCCACUCAAACAUGCGUACAGACCACAGACACAGUCUCCCCAUAUAUAGAUGCCCACCCAAACAAAUAUACAAACUACCUAUGCACACAGCCUCAGACAACCAAACACACAUACCACAUGUAACAUAAACCAAACAUACAUGUGCACUGUGGAGGUUUCCGUAAAAAUGGUCCCCAUAGGCCCACAUAAUUGAAUAUUUAGUCACCAGAACUUGAGAAGUGGCAGAACUCAGAAAGGAGGUUGACCAUGUUGAAGGAAGUAUGCCAUUGGGGGUGGCUUUGAGGUUUCAAAGACCCACACCAGUCUGAGUGUUGUUCUUUCUGCUUUCGAAUCAGGAUGUAGCUCUCAGUUACUGCUCCAGUGCCAUGAGUGUUGUCAUGCUCACACAUGCUCCCACAUGCUCCCACAUGUUCCCACUAUGCUUCUCCCAUGCUCCCAGCAUACUCCCACAUGAUCCCACUAUGUUCCCACCAUGCCACCACCAUGCUCCUACCAUGCUUUCACCAUGCUCUCACCAUGCUCCCACCAUGCUCCGACCAUGGUAAUAGUGGAAUAACCCUCUGAAACUGUAAGCAAGCCCACAGUUAAAUGCUUUCUUUUAUAUGAGUUGCCUUGGUCAUAGUAUGUCUUCAUAGCAAUAAAACAAUGACUAAGGUAUGUUUAGGCAUGAAUAGUUAAACACACACACACACACACACACACACACACCACAUUAUAUCACAUUACAGACACAAAGACAUACAAAAUAACAUAGGCACAUAUAUGCAUAUACCACGUAUGAUGCAGCACACAAAUGAAAUUAGUUAUAUAUACCAUCACACACACACACACACACACACACACACAAAACAUGUGCUCAUUAUGCUACAUACAUGCUACAUAGAACAUGUGUAUGUACUACAUGGGCACACAAAUACACACAUAAAUAUGCCUGUGUAUGAUAGCCCCCCUCCCACCACCCCACACUAUCUAAAGGUCUCUGAGCGAAUUAAGGAUGAAGUAAUUUAAGGUCAAAUGCAGAACAAUCCCCCUUGGGGCUUGAAAUUGACACCAGGUCAUCAUUUGCUGGAACCUCCAUCAAUCUGACAUUUGAAAAUGGCCCUUUGAACUGGAUAUAUGGGACCUUGAGUGGGGCUGCUCUAAUGUGUGUGCAUGCUCACAAUCACAUGCACGUCACUUGAGGUCAAAGGGUGAAGAAAACCUUAGACAGUGCCCCCCCAAACGCUGACCCCCUGACAUUGCUCCUGCAUUUUCCCCUCUUCUCCUCCAUUCCUUUUUCUGUUCAUUCUUUUGCUUCUCAUGUCUAUGCUAUUCCUACUGCGGAGUACAUCCUGUAUUCAUUAAACCUAGGAGUCUGGGGUUCCUUGGAUAUGGCAACCCUGCCCUGUCAUAGCAGGCCAUCCUCUGGCCACAGGUUGGCCACACCAACAUAUAAAGAGUGUACAUUUCCAGACUGGGUUCACAGGUCUUAGGAUGAGGCCGUCUGAACACAAACAUUGCCAUGGGUAGGGACCAAACUCGGUUCUGUGUAGGAAGAUGGCCUCGAACAUCAAGUUGCCUUAGAGGAUUAGUCCUCUGUGAAGGAGAGUCCCAAUUCAGGGCACAUGAACAGGACAUAUAGGGUGACCAUGAGGCAGAUGGGUGCUGCAGGGACAGCAGAGCAGAGGGCUGCAGACAUGAUGGGUAAGAAGCACUCACUUGAGAAGUACAGCUGCAGAGAGGCAGGCAGGUGCUGUGUGUGUGUGAUUAGUGCUUCUCUUUCACAAGACAAGUGAUCAGCACCCUCUAUACCUGCUCCAGACCUGCCAACAAGCACACUGCUUUAGGAGGCCUAAUAGAGUAUAGCCCAAAACAAGGAAUGGCCAAGAUCACAAGUUGUAGGAACAAGGUCCCACAAGGUGAUCCUUCACCCCAUCCUGAGAGAAUGGAGCACACAUGGACUGCUCUCUGGGGCAGCCACACUCUGCAUCUUCCCAGAGGUUUGCAGGUAGCCCUGCACCUCAUCUAUCCUCACACAGGAUGGUGGAAGCCUGUGGUGUGAAAAGAGAAUAUAUAAGCACACGACACAGGAGGCAGGCGAGGCCUUCAGUGAGAAUUCUGCUGGAAGCAGGAGAGGUUGAAGAGGGACAGAGGGAAUACUUGUGCAGUGAAAGGAGUGACUGACCGGUUUCCCACCGAACUCUGUGUAGAGAUCUUAAAGAUGUUUCCUUUCCCUUGUGGCAGUAUCCUGCCUUUUAGCUGAGGUGACUAACAGGCAGUGGCUUCACCAAGAAACUCUUGAGUUCCUUCUGUUGCUGUCAGUUCUGCAUAAAUGCCCUGUUAAUAGAGUUGUCUUGGCUUUAUGAUGGGUCAUGAAGAGCUAUAAGAGCUUGAACUGAUAAGAAAAACUUAAGUGCUGAGGGAAAGAACCUCUAUCUAUUCCAGUGGAAACAGGCCAAGUCCUCCAUAUUGUUGUCUUAUACAGAACAGUUCUCAGGUGACUGGUGUGUCUCAUGCAGAGCUGGGCAGAGUCUAAGGGAAAGGCUAAGGCAGAGAAGAAAGGAGGCAUGACACUGGGUCUGGAGAUGACAAGCCUUUCCUCCCAUUCUACCCUCCUGGCAUCCCAGAUUCCAGGGAAGAGUUGGUGAUCUGGUUAAAGCAUUUCCAGACUUCUGCCAAGGAAGCCUUGGCAGCCAUCUUCCCAGCUCAGCACAGGUGAGCUCAGCACUCCUUACAGCCAAUGAGUAAGAAGCUGGGCAUGGUUAUCUAGUGGUGUGAUUUCUAAAGCAAAUGAUUUUUUUUAAGUCAGAUAAAAGCCAAUGCUGAUGGACUAUCUGACAUCUGGGUAUAUUUCAAGGAACUGGGUCUCUCCCUCUCUCUCUCUCUCUCUCUCUCUCUCUCUCUCUCUCUCUCUCUCUCUUCUGUCCCUCCAUCUCUCUGUCUCUGUCUCUGUUGUGAGUGUCUGUCUCUGUGCCUGUCUCUGUCUCUGUUGUGUGUGUCUGUCUCUGUCUCUCUGUGUCCCUCUUCCCUCUGUCUUUCUCUCUGUAUCUGUCUGUGUCUGUCUCUCUGUCUCUGUCUCUGUCUGUCUGUCUCUCUGUGUCUAUCUGUCUCUGUCUCUCUCUGUCUUUCUCUCUGUGUCUCUGUCUCUCUCUGUGUCUCUGUCUCUGUCUCUGUCUGUCUGUGUCUGUCUGUCUCUCUGUGUCUAUCUGUCUCUGUCUCUCUCUGUGUCUCUGUCUCUGUCUCUCUCUGUCUCUCUGUCUCUCUCCCUCUCCCUCUCCCUCUCCCCCUCCCUCUCCCUCUCCCUCUCCCUCUCCCUCUCCCCCUCCCUCUCCCUCUCCCUCUCCCUCUCCCCCUCCCUCUCCCUCUCCCUCUCCCUCUCCCUCUCCCCCUCCCUCUCCCUCUCCCUCUCCCUGCUCUAGGUAACAAUUCUUGUUGUGUUUGUCAUUUUCAAGUCAUCUCCAAUCCCACUGGUCUUAGCUUCAUCUAGAGGGACUGCACUCCUGUCAGCAUCCUGGCCUUGCAACCUGGUCUGGUAUUUCUGACAGAACUGGAGCAGGAUGGAGGACCAAACCCUGCUUUCCUGGGUGAGGAGUGAAGUCUUUUGUCCCCUGGGGGGGGGUUGCCGCCUGCUUCAUCUUCCACCUAGAGAUUCUCACUGAGCUUCUCUGGGGAAAGCCAAAGAAAUUUGUAAGUUUUUAAAGUCCCAUGGUAGAUCCAUGUGCAGUCAGGGUGACAAACCCCAGCUGUGUCUGCAAAGGUGACAGUGGAUCUGAGAAAGGCUUGAUUGACAUUUCUGCUGAUGGAAAGACAGAGAUUACAAACACACGGAGAAAUGACAAAAGCAUAGGCUGGAUAACAACUCAGCAGCUGGGGUGUGUGUGUGUGUGUGUGUGUGUGUGUGUGCGUGUGUGUGUGUGUGUGCGUGCGUGCGUGCGUGCGUGCGUGUGUGUGUGUGUGUGUGUGUGUGAAGUAUGUAAGUAGCUAGCAGGCAUCAGGCAGUAGCCAUGAAGAGAAAGUACAAAGGUACAAAGGAUAAAUAGCCAGCUAUCCUGAAGCUGGUCAAGGGAAUCAGUCACCUGAGCAAUGUGGAGUCAGUGACACUCUGUCAGAGGGACAGAGCUUUGGUGGGGUGGUCUGUGGCCAUAGUUGCAGCAGAGCUACAUGAAGACCAAGUAUCCUGCCUCCUCCCUCCUGAAACUGCCCUCAUAGCCCAGCGAGGGGCCAUUGGAAGAAGCUGUGACUUUAAGAAAGGAAAAAGACGUUAAGCCAUCUGCAGAAAUGAUUCUUCCUUUUCUUAAAGCUUUUCUUAAAUCAUUUCAGCAGAAUACAAAGCUUUCUGCUCUUGAGCUUAAAAUGCCAGCUAGCAGCUGGCCAGUGUCACAUAGGACCGGAGAUUCAUCCUGUUCAAGGUGUGAUCAUCCUACCAGCGUGAAGACACGCUUCGCCAAGAUAAGAAUCAGCUUGGGAGAACAAGGGGGCCACUGGGACCCAGUAAGUGUGGUUCCUGUGGAGGGUGCUGUCAACAGUCAGGGACACUUGUCACACACAUGCAACUGUGCCCAGCUCUGUCAUUAGACCAUCUCAUCAGGCAGAGUCAACACUGUUCGGCUCAGAGCGAUGUUUGUUUUUACAUAGUUGACUUUCUAAUAACAUACCUCUGGCCCCAGAGAGUUUGCUGUGAGAGGUGUCCCUGUCAACCACUCGACAAGUAGAAAAUGAUCCUAAGUUUGACUCCACCUUGCAAAUCAAGUCGGAAGUUUGUGUCCAACGUCUUAGGGCAACGAAACCCAGCCUGCUCAGACUACAAUCCCAACACACGCUGGUUCACACACAGAAUCCAUCCUUGCAGAUCAGAACCCUUUAAUGCUGGUUGUGUAAGGAAAAGGCCCUCCUCUUUAGCUGAGGGAAUAGCUGGCUACUAGACCAGCAUCUCCAGGGGCCACACUGUUUUCAGCUCAAUGUGUCAAGUGUAUCAAAAUCAGUGUGCUUUGUCUCCAUACAUUCCAUCUCUCCCAAAAUAUGAGUUGAUGUCAGUUUAGGUUCAUGUUACCUCUACACACCACGUGCUCUUAACAUAGAUUUACAGCUGCCAUUUUGUGCAAUCAAUCUUCUGGAGCAUAUGGGAAACAAGAAGAGCUAGAACUCAAAACUACAGGGUCCUAUGUUCAUGCUUGUGCUGUUCUCUUUACCAAAGUCCACCCCUGCCUUUUGUGGUGGUGUUACAUUUUGAUCACCUUUUCAGACUUCUUGUAGGAGAUGGGUUCUGUGACUCCUUACACUCUUGCUUCUUCCGGAUGGGCAUCACUUUGGGAUGCAGCCUCACUUUUGAGGAAUGGUGUUUGCUAGACACAGAAUUUUUCAUUGGCAGCUAAUUUUCUCUGUGCACAUUGAGUACCUCACCCACGGCUUUUAGGCCCCUUGGGCUUUUGGUGAGAAACUGCAUGUGACAAAUGUCUUCCCUCUUGCUGCUUUUAGGAAUCUCUCCCUGUUGACUUCUGUAUGUUUGGGAGAUGAUACAUCUCAGAGUGGGAAUCUAACUCAUCCUUUGUGGAGAUAUUGAACUUCAUAGGUAGGAACAUAAUGUCUUUGAUUGGAUAAGGGCCAUUUCAUGUGACCAUGGUGGAUCUAUAAAUGAUGGUGGCAGGUCCUUCCUGGAAAUUUUAUCCAAGGGCACCAUAUAAUGCCAUGGCUUGCACCAGUCCCUCAAGGAACCAGAUAUACACCAUUAGGUUUGUUUUAGAAUGCCUCUGCUCUCAUCCAGAUUAUGAGCUAUGAGCUAUCAUCCGGUGGCUUCUGUGGCCUUAGGAGUGGAGGCUAAAGGGUGGAAAAGCAAAAAUAUCAGGAUGCUUUCCAGAACAUUCCUCUCUCUCUCUCUCUCUCUCUCUCUCUCUCUCUCUCUCUCUCUCUCUCUCUCUC
This is a long non-coding RNA of Rattus norvegicus (Norway rat), 10807 nucleotides long. RefSeq lists it as uncharacterized. NCBI's taxonomy places the organism in Eukaryota, Metazoa, Chordata, Mammalia, Rodentia, Muridae. The record is from RefSeq and is a predicted model, not a curated record.